Molecule: ribosomal RNA, 395 nt
Filed under: uncultured bacterium
Lineage: Bacteria
Description: bacterial SSU rRNA
Rfam family: Bacterial small subunit ribosomal RNA
Source: RNAcentral
GUGCCAGCAGCCGCGGUAAAACGUAGGAGGCGAGCGUUAUCCGGAAUCACUGGGCGUAAAGGGCGUCUAGGCGGGUUGGUCAGCGAGGUGUGAAAGCUCCCGGCUCAACUGGGAGAGUGCGCUUCGAACUGCCAGCCUUGAGGGAAGCAGAAGGGGGUGGAAUUCCCGGUGGAGUGGUGAAAUGCGUAGAUAUCGGGAGGAACACCAGUGGCGAAAGCGGCCCCCUAGGCUUAACCUGACGCUGAAGCGCGAAAGCGUGGGGAGCAAACGGGAUUAGAUACCCCGGUAGUCCACGCCGUAAACGAUGGUGACUAGGUGUGGGGAGCGUACAGCAUCCUCGUGCCGCAGCCAACGCGAUAAGUCACCCGCCUGGGGAGUACGGCCGCAAGGCUAAA